Molecule: ribosomal RNA, 292 nt
Filed under: uncultured bacterium
Lineage: Bacteria
Description: partial 16S ribosomal RNA
Rfam family: Bacterial small subunit ribosomal RNA
Source: RNAcentral
GUGCCAGCCGCCGCGGUAAUACGGGGGGGACGAGCGUUGUUCGGAUUUACUGGGCGUAAAGGGCGCGUAGGCGGGUCUUCAAGUCGGAUGUGAAAACUAUCAGCUUAACUGGUAGCCUGCAUUUGAUACUGUUGAUCUUGAGUACGGGAGAGGAGAGUGGAAUUCCAGGUGUAGCGGUGAAAUGCGUAGAUAUCUGGAAGAACACCAGUAGCGAAGGCGGCUCUCUGGACCGAUACUGACGCUCAAGCGCGAAGGCUUGGGGAGCAAACAGGAUUAGAAACCCGCGUAGUCC